CGGGAGGAGGGAGCUUCCCGCGGCGCGCGCGGUAUGGUCGCAAGUGUGGUCCAGGGCGGCCUCCUGCAGGAGUCCCUCGGCUGGAGCGCCAAGUGCGUGGGGCUCCGUGCCAGCUCAUGCCACGAGCUGAAGCCAGAUCGCAAAGGGCCUUUUCUGGAAGGCCAGAGGAUUUGAACUGCAUCUGGGGGGAAUGGGGAGGCGGCAGACGGGUUUUAAGCAGCGGAGUGAUGGGAUCAGAUCUGCCCGAUACCCACACAGCCCCUGCUCUUGUGUCUAGGGCCAGAAGAGAGGUGGGGACCCUGUGGCUGUCGUCCAGGGGUCCAAGUGGGGGGUAAAGGGAACCAGGGCCGUGGGAGGUGGGGAAGAGGGACGGUUAGGUGAGACAUUCGGGGAGGGAAUCAGUAGACCCUCGGGGGCAAGACGUUGAGGACAAGAUUACGUUCUUUGCCAGGAACCUCUGGGCGUGUGUGCGUCUGCCUGUGACGGUGUGCGUCUGUUUACGUGCGUGUCACGUGUAUGGUGCAUGUGCGUACGUGCACGUGACGCUGCUCUCUGGACGCACGCUGGGGCUCGCACGCACCUGUGUCCGUGAGCUUCCGGAUGCUCUCAGGCACAUCUGCACGCACGACCGUUAUCUGUGUGUCUGUCUCAUGGUCUGUGUGUCCACCUGCUGCUCCCAGUCCAAGGGCGAAGCCCCCGCCUCUCACGCUCUGGGCUCAGUGGAGCGCUCACUCAGUGGGGCACUCCGUGUGCCACGCACCUCCAGUGACUUAAGCUGUAGACGCUCCCACUGCUAAGGCGAGAUGCACCUUCUGUCCCUGUUUGAUGCUGCAACGUGAACCCUGAGGCAGUUCUUCAAAGGGAGUACUGGGGGUGGAAAGAAAGGAGGCACACGUCAGGAUUAAAACUGCGAACUGACCGUGCCCCUGCUCAGCCCUGGCCCAGGGACCUUCCUCCACAGACAGGCUGUGAUUUGCAGCUGCAUUUCCCCCAGGCCAGGAUGAGGGGCUUCUGGGAACCGGUGAUGGGCAGGGCUUGGGGAGGGGAGAGAGCUGCCCUCCCAACCCAGCAAGUCCCUUCACCAGCCGCCAGCCGCGAGCCGGCAGGUGGAAUGGGCUGCCCAUAGGGGCUGAACAGAGGAGCCCUCCCUUCCUUCCUUCCUUCCUUCCUUCCUUCCUUCCUUCCUUCCUUCCUUCCUGUCCUCCUCUUUAGCUCGCUCCCUUCCUCUCUUCUCUUUCUCCCUGCCCUCCUCUUCCUUUCCCUCCCUCCCUUCCCUGCCCUCCUUCCCUAUCCACCAUUUCCGGAGGACUUGGAGGCUUGGCACCGACUCCCAUGUGUGUAUUAACUCUGAUGCUUAGUGAUGGUGUGAUGGCAUGAUGGCGGGCAGGUGCUCCCCUCUCACCUCGCAGGGUCGUUAGAAUUAUGUGAAUUCAGGCUCCAGUGCACAGCACAGUGCCAGGCUCCCCGGAGGAACUCAAAUGGCAGCCAUCCGUUUGUGCAGUGGAUCAAUAAGGCAUCUCCCCAUCAAAUUGGCUUUACCAGUCAGAGACAUGGUCAGAUAAACAAAUAGUGCAAUAAGAGUUUUACAAAAGGUGGGGGGCUAGGGUGCUUGGAGGAGGCUCGGAAGAGGAAGGGCCACCCUUCCUAGGAAAGGUAUAGGAUCAGGGAGAGCUUCCUGGAAGAGGUGCCUCCUGAGUCUUAAAGGCCGGCCGGAUUUCACCGAGUGAGUCCGAGGUGAGGGCAUCCAGGUGAGGGGAGGAUUUUGCGGAGGUGUGGGAAGGAAACUACAAAAGCACCACGGUGCAUCCGGGCCUCUGGUUCCGUGUGGGGAGAUGGCCGCGGGCUGCAAUGCGAGGCAGGUCUGUGAGUGAGGCGUGCCCCGGGGAGAGUUUAACCAGAUGACCAGUGCUGGGCUGAGGGGUCUCAGAAAAACCUUUCCAGGCCGAAAGAGCUUUUCCACUCAGGUGGCAGGCUGCCUUUGGUGGCCGCCCACAUGCCUCUUCGGGUGGGGGGGGGGGCUUGCUGGAAGGGCUGUGGCAGGUGGCCUUCAGCGGUCAGCUCCUGCAGGAUGGCCCUAGCUGCAGAGGGGGCUGUAUGCCAGCUCCCCCCGCUUCCCCCCGCCGCAGCCCACAUUCAGGGAGCGACCGGUGCCAGAAGCUAAGGAUCUGGCCGUCGUGGCCCAAGUCAAGACAACUCUGAGGGGCUGAUCCAGCCCCAGGACUUCCCUGAGAGGUCAGCUGAGGCUGUCAGUGGGCCCGUACUGCACUGUGACCUCUGCCUCUGCCUCCCCUGCCUUCCCUCCCUCCCACCGCUGUGGAUCCCAGGGGCUCCCUAACCAGUGGUCCGCUGUUAUCAGCACUCGCGUCCAUCUGAGUCUGCGGCUGAGCCUUCAGCCUGAACGGUGCCCUUGCAACCUUCUUUCCCACCCCGCCUCUUUGUCUAGUAACCUUCCUUUUUGUUGAAGUGCCACAUGCAUACAGAAAGGUGCAAAGCUCUUUGAAUUAUGGACAACUCAAAUCCUUGCAAAGUGAACCCGGCCCGUCACCGUUGCCCAGAUCAGGAAGCAGAAUUUUAGCACCCUUGCCCGAAUCCCUUCGUGCCUGUCUCCGUCCUGAAGGCCAUGGGAAGUACCAGCGUUUUAUCAGCAGGAACAUGUGCUUCAGAGAGCCCACUCCGCUGCAGUAUGGAAGAUGGAUCUGAGUGGAGAGAGACUCUGGGCGUGUUGUUACCUGCCGCUGACCCUGGUUUAUGAGGACGGCGCUUCGGCAUCUGAACAGGCAACAUAAGGAGAAAGGGAGUCUAACCUACUUUCCAGCAGCAUCUCAUUUCUAAAUCAAAAUUUCCAAAAUUCUUCUAUCCCUACACCUGGCCUCUGAGGGGGAUUGAAGAGGGAAAAGAUUGGGGUCCCAGGACAUCCAGGUGCCCAGGGAAGUUGGUUCAGUAAGGCUGCUGAGAUGGGGGCCCAGCCUGCAGGGAGGAAGGCGGAGGAGGAACCCCAUACUUGGCGCGUCUGACAUCCGCAGAUGCCUCAGACCACCCUGAGCACCACUGCGGGACGGCGCCCAGCGAGGGCAAGGCCACAGAGAGGUUUCCUUCCUGUUUUCAGGUCAGGUGCCUGUAGUGAAGACUCAGUGGGUUGUGAAAUGCCUCUCCCUCUCCUCCGCUUCCUUCCAUGUCCUGUCUGCCUGCCUCUUUCUCUUUUCAUGAUCUUCCUUGUUCCAUCACACGGGGGAUACACAACCGCAUUUUCAGGUAAGACGCUGAGACCAUACAUGAUUGAGGUUACAAAGCAAAGCGUCAGCACCCUGCCGUGCCUCCACCUCCCCCACAAUCCCCCUUUCCUCCUCCCAGGUGGAAUCAGUGCCAGAGUUUGGUAUGCGCAUCUCAUCCCCGUAGCUGGGGGGAAGUUCCUGCACUUACACAUAUGUGAAUACACACGUCUGCCCGGUAUAUACAAAUAUGGCCUUCUUACCUAUAUGCCUACGUGUACACGUACCUACGUAUAGCUUUUGCGAUGCUUUGAUGUAAUCGAGGCCAUACCAUAAGUGUUCUGCAACUUGCUAUUUGCCUGUGAUGUGUUUGGGGGAACCGUCAAUCACAGAACACACAGGUCUACACGGAGCCCUGUCUCGUCCUAACGGCUGCACGUUCCAACCUGCAGAUUUCUACAGGUUUUUUAACCUCUCCUUAUGGACAGU
Felis catus (domestic cat) is the source of this 3698-nucleotide long non-coding RNA. RefSeq lists it as uncharacterized. The transcript is spliced from 5 exons. The record is from RefSeq and is a predicted model, not a curated record. Lineage: Eukaryota; Metazoa; Chordata; Mammalia; Carnivora; Felidae.